This 156-nucleotide non-coding RNA is filed under the name Truepera radiovictrix. The record is from RNAcentral. Lineage: Bacteria; Thermotogati; Deinococcota; Deinococci; Trueperales; Trueperaceae.
GGGAAGUCCGGUGAGAGUCCGGCGCUGUCCCGCAACGGUAACGAGGUAGGCAGGCGUCAGCUGGUUUAGGAACGCUGUCAGAUGGUGAGGGGGCGCGUUUCGCUAGCUGCGCUCUCGGCGUCUUCGCCAACGCCACAACCUCGAAGCCCGAUCGCC